CUGUGGUCCUGUGCUGGACUCACUGUAGCAGUGCUGUGGAGCCCAGAGCUGAGCCCAGAACUCCAGCUGUGUCUCACCAGUGCUGAGCAGAGGGGAAGGAUCACCUUCCCUGACCCGCUGGCAACGCUCUGCCUAAUGCUCCCAGGAGGCUGUUGGCUGCCUUUGCUGUAAGGACACAUUGCUGGCUGAUGUUUAACUUGGUGUUACAGGAUCUCCUGAGUCUUUUCCUGCAAGAGUUUUGUGUCACUUGUAAACAAGCUGAGGGUGCACUUUGUCCUGUUGUCCAGGUCAUUGGCCCCAGUAUCAAUCCCUGCUAUAUGCUAUUAGCCACUAAUCUUGUUAUAAAAGGCUAUCCGUUUGGGUAAGCAAAACAUUCCCUUCAUAAAUCCAUGCUGACUACACCAAAUCGUCUUCUUACUCUUCACGUGUCGGUCUGCAGAGAGCUGCUAGCAGCCAGAAACUAAAGGCUAGAAAUAAGGGCUUCAUUAACCUCAUCUCAACUUUCAGAUAGGUAAGGACUGUGAACAACAUCCGAUGAUUCUCAGCCACACUGAGAAUAACAUCUACAAUCUGACCAUCUGAUUGUGCUGUUUCAGAUGUGCACGGAGCUUCGUUCUGCCCCUUUGGUGGGUGAGAUUCAGGUAAAUACUAACUCCGGUUCAUACCCCACUUCCCCCUUAAGUGAAAGACACCCACUCACAGUGGUCUGAAGGAAGCAAAAGCACUCUCCAAUCUGGUUCCUGAUGUUGGCAAUGGGUGCAGAGGAAAUCAGGUUGUGCUGUGGCACCUGGAUGCUGUUCAGCUUCAGUAAAGCCAAAUCAAAUAUGGACUUCUUUUUCUCAAAUAUGAAACACUUACCAGAGGGAAUCCUUAAUUCCAGUUUCAUCAUGCACUGCAGUUGCAUAUGGAUGAAAUGCUGCCCUUAAGUGCAAAUACGUGAACCUAUAUCCUCAGGUCAUCCACACAUCAGAGAAAGAGGUCCCCUGCAGUCAUGGAAUCUGGCUAUAAGACAUCCAGGAACUACUGGUGCAAUGAAGAGUACACUUACACACCUUAUACUUUGGAGUAGCAGGGAUUUGGGGAUUUCUUUACAACUAAUUCCUGAGAUGUGUUUGAAAAUUUAACAGGAUUGCGUAAAGUAGUGAACAUGCCCCUACACUAAGGGCUGGCCACCUGUGAGUCCACAGGACCUCUCAUUCACACUCUGGCACAAGCAAAAUUUGUGUACUACGGCAUCUAGAUAGCUUUGAGGAUCUUGAUAUCAAGGGAGGUUGUGUGACUUUGUCAUUUGGAACAUGAAAAAAGUUACCAAACUUA
Molecule: long non-coding RNA, 1317 nt
Organism: Falco peregrinus (peregrine falcon)
Lineage: Eukaryota; Metazoa; Chordata; Aves; Falconiformes; Falconidae
Exons: 2
Source: RefSeq, a predicted model, not a curated record